GAAACGCUUCGAUGCCAUUUCAUUUCAACAUCCAAACGAAGAAAGAGGGCGGUAAACUCACGGAUUUCCUCCUUUUCUUACCCCCCAAACCUUGUGCACGAAGCUCUCCUUUGUGUCUAAUUUUAUGUUCCAUUGCGUAAUUCCUGGAUAUUGAAAUCUGUCCGCGGCAUCGUCCGCGCUCGAUGGGUCUUUCUUUUAGGUUUUGAUGGGCAAUUCUUGUCGAGAUUCUUGGCAAGCAAGAUCGACCCCCCACACCGCCGCCAAUCCAUCGGCAUUCCCGACGACUCCUCCAAGAAGCCGCCGCCUUCACGAGGCGACUCCAACUACGUGUUCUACCAUGAGACGCCCAAUCUCCAGGACUCGUGGGGAGGAAAUGGGGGCAGAUUCAUGACGAGUACACAUAUAUGCGAGAAAUAUGUAUUGAGUUCAAGAUCUGGAUCGGUAGGAACUCGCAAAUCCUAUUACAGUACAAUGUUUUCACUUGUAAUGUUCGCACAGACACUUGUGUCUUCCUCUGGUACAGUCAAUUACAAUGCAGCAAACCAGUCCAGUAGGAAUUAUUCCUUCAAACCCUAUAUUUUCUACUUCUUGAUAAGCUUCUGGUUCAUCUCUCUGCAGGGUGUAACCAGCAGGGAUUAUUGGUUCAAACCCUACUAGCUUUUCUACUUCCCCACAACCUUCGUUCCAUCUCUUGCGCAGAGCGUGAUCUUCAGUC
Molecule: long non-coding RNA, 715 nt
Filed under: Musa acuminata (dwarf banana)
Lineage: Eukaryota; Viridiplantae; Streptophyta; Magnoliopsida; Zingiberales; Musaceae
Description: long non-coding RNA (MACU_LNC000820)
Source: RNAcentral